UACGGAGGGUGCAAGCGUUAUCCGGAUUCACUGGGUUUAAAGGGCGCGUAGGCGGGUAAGUAAGUCAGUGGUGAAAUCUCCGGGCUUAACCCGGAAACUGCCAUUGAUACUAUUUGUCUUGAAUACUGUGGAGGUCAGCGGAAUAUGUCAUGUAGCGGUGAAAUGCUUAGAUAUGACAUAGAACACCAAUUGCGAAGGCAGCUGGCUACACAAAUAUUGACACUGAGGCACGAAAGCGUGGGGAUCAAACAGG
Molecule: ribosomal RNA, 253 nt
Filed under: uncultured bacterium
Lineage: Bacteria
Description: partial 16S ribosomal RNA
Rfam family: Bacterial small subunit ribosomal RNA
Source: RNAcentral